GCAUAUCAAUAAGCGGAGGAAAGAAACCAACAGGGAUUGCCCUAGUAACGGCGAGUGAAGCGGCAACAGCUCAAAUUUGAAAUCUGGCUCUUUCAGAGUCCGAGUUGUAAUUUGCAGAGGGCGCUUUGGCUUUGGCAGCGGUCCAAGUUCCUUGGAACAGGACGUCACAGAGGGUGAGAAUCCCGUACGUGGUCGCUAGCUAUUGCCGUGUAAAGCCCCUUCGACGAGUCGAGUUGUUUGGGAAUGCAGCUCUAAAUGGGAGGUAAAUUUCUUCUAAAGCUAAAUAUUGGCCAGAGACCGAUAGCGCACAAGUAGAGUGAUCGAAAGAUGAAAAGCACUUUGGAAAGAGAGUCAAACAGCACGUGAAAUUGUUGAAAGGGAAGCGCUUGCAGCCAGACUUGCUUGCAGUUGCUCAUCCGGGCUUUUGCCCGGUGCACUCUUCUGCAGGCAGGCCAGCAUCAGUUUGGGCGGUGGGAUAAAGGUCUCUGACACGUUCCUUCCUUCGGGUUGGCCAUAUAGGGGAGACGUCAUACCACCAGCCUGGACUGAGGUCCGCGCAUCUGCUAGGAUGCUGGCGUAAUGGCUGUAAGCGGCCCGUCUUGAAACACGGACCAAGGAGUCUAACAUCUAUGCGAGUGUUUGGGUGUCAAGCCCGAGCGCGUAAUGAAAGUGAACGGAGGUGGGAACCCGCAAGGGUGCACCAUCGACCGAUCCUGAAGUUUUCGGAAGGAUUUGAGUAAGAGCAUGGCUGUUGGGACCCGAAAGAUGGUGAACUAUGCUUGAAUAGGGUGAAGCCAGAGGAAACUCUGGUGGAGGCUCGCAGCGGUUCUGACGUGCAAAUCGAUCGUCAAACUUGGGCAUAGGGGCGAAAGACUAAUCGAACUAUCUAGUAGCUGGUUCUGCGAU
This 906-nucleotide ribosomal RNA is filed under the name Curvularia australiensis. Its description in RNAcentral is "LSU rRNA". It matches the Rfam family "Eukaryotic large subunit ribosomal RNA", at positions 38 to 965 of the family's 3401-position model. Lineage: Eukaryota; Fungi; Ascomycota; Dothideomycetes; Pleosporales; Pleosporaceae. The record is from RNAcentral.